This 1505-nucleotide ribosomal RNA is filed under the name uncultured bacterium. RNAcentral describes it as "16S ribosomal RNA". It matches the Rfam family "Bacterial small subunit ribosomal RNA". The record is from RNAcentral.
AGAGUUUGAUCCUGGCUCAGAAUGAACGCUGGCGGCGUGCUUAACACAUGCAAGUCGAACGCGAAAGUCCUUCGGGAUGAGUAAAGUGGCGAACGGGUGCAUAACGCGUAGGAAUCUACCCUUGGGUGAAGGAUACCCUAGAGAAAUUUAGGCUAAUACUGCAUAAGCCGGGAAACCGGGAAAGGUGGCCUCUUGCUACCGCACAAGGAUGAGCCUGCGUACUAUUAGUUAGUUGGUGAGGUAAAGGCUCACCAAGACGAAGAUGGUUAGCUGGCCUGAGAGGGUGUACAGCCACAAUGGGACUGAGAUACGGCCCAUACUCCUACGGGAGGCAGCAGUGGGGAAUAUUGCACAAUGGGCGAAAGCCUGAUGCAGCGACGCCGCGUGGAGGAUGAAGGUUUUCGGAUUGUAAACUCCUGUUAAGUGGGAAGAAAGAACACGGGUUAAUACCCCGUGGAGAUGACGGUACCACUAGAGAAAGCACCGGCUAACUUCGUGCCAGCAGCCGCGGUAAUACGAGGGGUGCAAGCGUUAUUCGGAAUAACUGGGCGUAAAGAGCGCGUAGGCGGCUUGUUAAGUCUGUUGUUAAAUUACCUAGCUUAACUGGGAAGAGGCAAUAGAAACUGGCGAGCUAGAGGACAAGAGAGAGAAGUGGAAUUCUCGGAGUAGCGGUAAAAUGCGUAGAUCUCGAGAGGAACACCGAUGGCGAAGGCAGCUUCUUGGCUUGUAUCUGACGCUCAAGUGCGAAAGCGUGGGGGAGCAAACAGGAUUAGAUACCCUGGUAGUCCACGCUGUAAACGAUGAUCACUGGAUAUGGGAUUUGCAAAGCAGAUUCUGUGUCGAAGCUAACGCGUUAAGUGAUCCGCCUGGGGAGUACGGUCGCAAGAUUAAAACUCAAAGAAAUUGACGGGGGUCCGCACAAGCGGUGGAACAUGUGGUUUAAUUCGACACUACGCGAGGAACCUUACCUGGGCUUGACAUGUAAUUGUUACUGAUGGAAACAUCGGGUUUCACGGGAAACCGUGAACUGUUACACAGGUGCUGCAUGGCUGUCGUCAGCUCGUGUCGUGAGAUGUUGGGUUAAGUCCUUUAACGAGCGCAACCCUUGCCGUUAGUUGCUAUUGCGAAAGCAAGCACUCUAGCGGGACUGCCUGGGAAACCAGGAGGAAGGUGGGGAUGACGUCAAGUCCGCAUGGCCCUUAUGUCCAGGGCUACACACGUGUUACAAUGGUGAGUACAAACGGAAGCAAGACCGCGAGGUGGAGCAAACCUGAUAAAACUCAUCUAAGUUCGGAUUGAAGUCUGCAACUCGACUUCAUGAAGUUGAAAUCGCUAGUAAUCGCGCAUCAGAACGGCGCGGUGAAUACGUUCUCGGACCUUGUACACACCGCCCGUCACACCAUGGGAGCUGUCUACACCCGAAAUUAUUUUAGCUAACCUUUACCGGAGGCGGGUAAUGAAGGUGAGGAGAGUGACUGGGGUGAAGUCGUAACAAGGUAACCGUA